RNAcentral lists this ribosomal RNA (279 nucleotides) under uncultured bacterium. RNAcentral describes it as "partial 16S ribosomal RNA". It matches the Rfam family "Bacterial small subunit ribosomal RNA", at positions 506 to 784 of the family's 1533-position model. The record is from RNAcentral.
UGCCAGCCGCCGCGGUAAUACGGAGGGAGCUAUCGUUGUUCGGAAUUACUGGGCGUAAAGCGCGCGUAGGCGGUUAUCCAAGUCAGGGGUGAAAUCCCGGGGCUCAACCCCGGAAGUGCAUUGGAAACUGGCGAACUUGAGUACGGGAGAGGAAAGUGGAAUUCCGAGUGUAGGGGUGAAAUCCGUAGAUAUUCGGAGGAACACCAGUGGCGAAGGCGGCUUUCUGGACCGAUACUGACGCUGAGACGCGAAAGCGUGGGGAGCAAACAGGAUUAGAUA